Molecule: ribosomal RNA, 173 nt
Filed under: Hyloscirtus tapichalaca
Lineage: Eukaryota; Metazoa; Chordata; Amphibia; Anura; Hylidae
Description: partial 16S ribosomal RNA
Source: RNAcentral
ACGUGAUCUGAGUUCAGACCGGAGCAAUCCAGGUCAGUUUCUAUCUAUAAAGGGCUUUUUCUAGUACGAAAGGACCAAAAAAGCAUGGCCAAUGCUAAAGUAAGCCAUCAAAACCUACUUAUGACCUCCACUCAAUAAAUAAAUAACCUAACAUACACCUCAAAAUAAGAGCC